Molecule: ribosomal RNA, 566 nt
Filed under: uncultured archaeon
Lineage: Archaea
Description: bacterial SSU rRNA
Rfam family: Archaeal small subunit ribosomal RNA
Source: RNAcentral
CGCAAUCGCCCUUCGGGGUGCAGCAGGCGCGAAAACUUUACAAUGCGGGAAACCGUGAUAAGGGGACACCGAGUGCCAGCAUCAUAUGCUGGCUGUCCGGGUGUGUAAAAUACACCCGUUAGCAAGGGCCGGGCAAGACCGGUGCCAGCCGCCGCGGUAACACCGGCGGCCCGAGUGGUGAUCGUGAUUAUUGGGUCUAAAGGGUCCGUAGCCGGUUUGGUCAGUCCUCCGGGAAAUCUGACGGCUCAACCGUUAGGCUUUCGGGGGAUACUGCCAGGCUUGGAACCGGGAGAGGUAAGAGGUACUACAGGGGUAGGAGUGAAAUCUUGUAAUCCCUGUGAGACCACCUGUGGCGAAGGCGUCUUACCAGAACGGGUUCGACGGUGAGGGACGAAAGCUGGGGGCACGAACCGGAUUAGAUACCCGGGUAGUCCCAGCCGUAAACGAUGCUCGCUAGGUGUCAGGCAUGGCGCGACCGUGUCUGGUGCCGCAGGGAAGCCGUGAAGCGAGCCACCUGGGAAGUACGACCGCAAGGUUGAAACUUAAAGGAAUUGGCGGGGGAGCAC